RNAcentral lists this ribosomal RNA (305 nucleotides) under uncultured bacterium. Its description in RNAcentral is "bacterial SSU rRNA". It matches the Rfam family "Bacterial small subunit ribosomal RNA", at positions 337 to 640 of the family's 1533-position model. The record is from RNAcentral.
ACCUACGGGGCGCAGCAGUGAGGAAUAUUGGUCAAUGGGCGCGAGCCUGAACCAGCCAAGUCGCGUGAGGGAGGACGGCCCUACGGGUUGUAAACCUCUUUUGCCGGGGAGCAAAAGACGCCACGCGUGGCGUUCCGAGAGUACCCGAAGAAAAAGCAUCGGCUAACUCCGUGCCAGCAGCCGCGGUAAUACGGAGGAUGCGAGCGUUAUCCGGAUUUAUUGGGUUUAAAGGGUGCGUAGGCGGUCCGUUAAGUCAGCGGUAAAAUUGCGGGGCUCAACCCCGUCGAGCCGUUGAAACUGGCAGA